CCCUGUCCCGCCUCCUUCCCCUCCAGUGCCUGCCGGUUUCCACCCAGAGUUCGCUCCUCCGCUCGGACCCCAACGCUACCAGCCACUGCAGGGCUUCUCAACCCGGGCCACUGUGCCCAGGGAACAUUCUCAGUUGUCUCAACCGGGAGUGCCACUGGCGCGAGAGGGAGGUGGAGGCUAGAGAUGCUGGUGAGUGUUCCCCGGGCACAGCGCGGCCCCACGCGUCCUCGCACCCAAGGCGGGAAACUCGGCCCGCGGGAGCUGCCGGCCCUCCCGGCUCCCUGAGCGGUGAGAGGUGGCUCCAGUCGCCAUUCCUCCGCCCCUUAGAAACCAACAGCUUACGGGGAACACGGGUUCGGGGCUAGAGGAGCCGCACGCGGACCCGCCCCCGAUCCAGGCCCGGACCCCGACCUGUACCCGGACCCCGACCGGACUCCUACCCGACCUGGACCCGACCCAACCAGACCUGGAGCCCA
This 476-nucleotide long non-coding RNA is filed under the name Homo sapiens (human). RNAcentral's name for it is "non-protein coding lnc-PTX4-3:1". Lineage: Eukaryota; Metazoa; Chordata; Mammalia; Primates; Hominidae. The record is from RNAcentral.